CCUACGGGAGGCUGCAGUGAGGAAUAUUGGUCAAUGGGCGCUAGCCUGAACCAGCCAAGUAGCGUGAAGGAUGACUGCCCUAUGGGUUGUAAACUUCUUUUAUAUGGGAAUAAAGUGCAGUAUGUAUACUGCUUUGCAUGUACCUCUUGAAUAAGCCACGGCUAACUACGUGUCAGCAGCCGCGGUAAUACGUAGGUGGCAAGCGUUGUCCGGAUUUACUGGGUGUAAAGGGCGUGCAGCCGGGAAGACAAGUCAGAUGUGAAAUCCCGCGGCUCAACCGCGGAACUGCAUUUGAAACUGUUUUUCUUGAGUACCGGAGAGGUCAUCGGAAUUCCUUGUGUAGCGGUGAAAUGCGUAGAUAUAAGGAAGAACACCAGUGGCGAAGGCGGAUGACUGGACGGCAACUGACGGUGAGGCGCGAAAGCGUGGGGAGCAAACAGGAUUAGAUACCCCAGUAGUC
Molecule: ribosomal RNA, 460 nt
Filed under: uncultured bacterium
Lineage: Bacteria
Description: partial 16S ribosomal RNA
Rfam family: Bacterial small subunit ribosomal RNA
Source: RNAcentral